GAAAUGCGAUAACUAGUGUGAAUUGCAGAAUUCAGUGAAUCAUCGAGUCUUUGAACGCAUAUUGCGCCCGUCGGUAUUCCGGCGGGCAUGCUGUUCGAGCGUCAUUACACCAGUCAGACCGUGCCGGUUUGGUGUUGGGUCUUAUCUCGUCUCCCUGAUAUACAGGAAGACGGACCCUAAAUCUCUGUCCCGGCGGCCGAUAUCGUCAUAGCCCGGAACGCGUCGUGGUGCUUUGUAGCCUCGCGGCCGGGUCCGAGUUCGGUGCAGCCGUUUUAUAAAGGACGGCCGCUUUCGCAGUGGUCCUCCCCCAAGAGUCUUGACCUCGGAUCAGGUAGGGUUACCCGCUGAACUUAAGC
Molecule: unclassified non-coding RNA, 356 nt
Filed under: plant metagenome
Description: partial contains 5.8S ribosomal RNA, internal transcribed spacer 2, and large subunit ribosomal RNA
Rfam family: 5.8S ribosomal RNA (bases 1-104)
Source: RNAcentral